This is a long non-coding RNA of Argiope bruennichi, 454 nucleotides long. RefSeq lists it as uncharacterized. The record is from RefSeq and is a predicted model, not a curated record. NCBI's taxonomy places the organism in Eukaryota, Metazoa, Arthropoda, Arachnida, Araneae, Araneidae. The transcript is spliced from 2 exons.
UUUAGUUUGUUCUUGCGAUAACCGUUUGAAAUAACUGGUAUUACCCCUUAUAUAUAUAAGAAAGCCUCAGUCGAACAGUAAAUAUUCUCCAGUUUUCUGGCUAGUUGUUACCUACCUGAUCUUAACUAUGAAAAUUUGUGCCAUUAUCUUAGCUGUUAUUUGUGCCAUGCUACUUCUGACUGGCACAGAAGCUGCCCCAGCGCCAAAAAGACAUGGAUAUCAUCAUCACAGACCUCAUCAUGGUCACUACCCACCUCACCAUGGUCACUACCCAUCUCACCAUGGUCACUAUCCUCCACAUCAUGGUCAUCAUGGAAGACCUUACCCACACCGCCCUCAUUACGGAUGAGAUAAUGAGUAAAUUAAAAAACAUGUGAAAUAAAUAAAAAUGUAAAAUAACAGAUUAUUGCAUAUUCCAUUCCAAAUUUGCUAGAAUAAAUUUUAUUGCAUUUAA